This 446-nucleotide ribosomal RNA is filed under the name uncultured bacterium. RNAcentral's name for it is "bacterial SSU rRNA". It matches the Rfam family "Bacterial small subunit ribosomal RNA", at positions 339 to 796 of the family's 1533-position model. The record is from RNAcentral.
CUACGGGAGGCAGCAGUUGGGAAUAUUGGACAAUGGGCGAAAGCCUGAUCCAGCAAUCCCGCGUGAGUGAUGGAGGCCCUCGGGUCGUAAAGCUCUUUCAGCAGGGAAGAAGCUUCGGCGGACGGUACCUGCAGAAGAAGCACCGGCUAACUACGUGCCAGCAGCCGCGGUAAUACGUAGGGUGCAAGCGUUGUUCGGAAUCAUUGGGCGUAAAGCGCGUGUAGGCGGCCUGUUAAGUCUGAUGUGAAAGCCCGGGGCUCAACCCCGGAAGUGCAUUGGAUACUGGCAGGCUAGAGGACGAGAGAGGUAAGUGGAAUUCCUGGUGUAGGGGUGAAAUCCGUAGAUAUCAGGAGGAACACCGGUGGCGAAGGCGGCUUACUGGCUCGUUUCUGACGCUGAGACGCGAAAGCGUGGGGAGCAAACAGGAUUAGAAACCCCUGUAGUCC